GACGAACGCUGGCGGCGUGCUUAACACAUGCAAGUCGAACGAAGAGCGAUGGAAGCUUGCUUCUCUCAAUCUUAGUGGCGAACGGGUGAGUAACGCGUAAUCAACCUGCCCUUCAGAGGGGGACAACAGUUGGAAACGACUGCUAAUACCGCAUACGAUCUAAUCUCGGCAUCGAGGAUAGAUGAAAGGUGGCCUCUACAUGUAAGCUAUCACUGCAGGAGGGGAUUGCGUCUGAUUAGCUAGUUGGAGGGGUAACGGCCCACCAAGGCGAUGAUCAGUAGCCGGUCUGAGAGGAUGAACGGCCACAUUGGGACGGAGACACGGCCCAGACGCCUACGGGAGGCAGCAGGGGGGAAUCUUCCGCAAUGGACGAAAGUCUGACGGAGCAACGCCGCGUGAGCGAUGACGGCCUUCGGGUUGUAAAGCUCGGUUAAUCGGGACGAAAGGGCUUCUUGCGAAUAGUGAGAAGGAUUGACGGUACCGGAAGAGAAAGCCACGGCUAACUACGUG
Molecule: ribosomal RNA, 510 nt
Filed under: uncultured bacterium
Lineage: Bacteria
Description: partial 16S ribosomal RNA
Rfam family: Bacterial small subunit ribosomal RNA
Source: RNAcentral